Molecule: ribosomal RNA, 1367 nt
Filed under: Lactobacillus sp.
Lineage: Bacteria; Bacillati; Bacillota; Bacilli; Lactobacillales; Lactobacillaceae
Description: bacterial SSU rRNA
Rfam family: Bacterial small subunit ribosomal RNA
Source: RNAcentral
AUUUUGGUCGCCAACGAGUGGCGGACGGGUGAGUAACACGUAGGUAACCUGCCCAGAAGCGGGGGACAACAUUUGGAAACAGAUGCUAAUACCGCAUAACAGCGUUGUUCGCAUGAACAACGCUUAAAAGAUGGCUUCUCGCUAUCACUUCUGGAUGGACCUGCGGUGCAUUAGCUUGUUGGUGGGGUAACGGCCUACCAAGGCGAUGAUGCAUAGCCGAGUUGAGAGACUGAUCGGCCACAAUGGGACUGAGACACGGCCCAUACUCCUACGGGAGGCAGCAGUAGGGAAUCUUCCACAAUGGGCGCAAGCCUGAUGGAGCAACACCGCGUGAGUGAAGAAGGGUUUCGGCUCGUAAAGCUCUGUUGUUAAAGAAGAACACGUAUGAGAGUAACUGUUCAUACGUUGACGGUAUUUAACCAGAAAGUCACGGCUAACUACGUGCCAGCAGCCGCGGUAAUACGUAGGUGGCAAGCGUUAUCCGGAUUUAUUGGGCGUAAAGAGAGUGCAGGCGGUUUUCUAAGUCUGAUGUGAAAGCCUUCGGCUUAACCGGAGAAGUGCAUCGGAAACUGGAUAACUUGAGUGCAGAAGAGGGUAGUGGAACUCCAUGUGUAGCGGUGGAAUGCGUAGAUAUAUGGAAGAACACCAGUGGCGAAGGCGGCUACCUGGUCUGCAACUGACGCUGAGACUCGAAAGCAUGGGUAGCGAACAGGAUUAGAUACCCUGGUAGUCCAUGCCGUAAACGAUGAGUGCUAGGUGUUGGAGGGUUUCCGCCCUUCAGUGCCGGAGCUAACGCAUUAAGCACUCCGCCUGGGGAGUACGACCGCAAGGUUGAAACUCAAAGGAAUUGACGGGGGCCCGCACAAGCGGUGGAGCAUGUGGUUUAAUUCGAAGCUACGCGAAGAACCUUACCAGGUCUUGACAUCUUGCGCCAACCCUAGAGAUAGGGCGUUUCCUUCGGGAACGCAAUGACAGGUGGUGCAUGGUCGUCGUCAGCUCGUGUCGUGAGAUGUUGGGUUAAGUCCCGCAACGAGCGCAACCCUUGUUACUAGUUGCCAGCAUUAAGUUGGGCACUCUAGUGAGACUGCCGGUGACAAACCGGAGGAAGGUGGGGACGACGUCAGAUCAUCAUGCCCCUUAUGACCUGGGCUACACACGUGCUACAAUGGACGGUACAACGAGUCGCGAACUCGCGAGGGCAAGCAAAUCUCUUAAAACCGUUCUCAGUUCGGACUGCAGGCUGCAACUCGCCUGCACGAAGUCGGAAUCGCUAGUAAUCGCGGAUCAGCAUGCCGCGGUGAAUACGUUCCCGGGCCUUGUACACACCGCCCGUCACACCAUGAGAGUUUGUAACACCCAAAGUCGGU